This 3578-nucleotide long non-coding RNA is filed under the name Pan troglodytes (chimpanzee). RNAcentral describes it as "long non-coding RNA NONPTRT001469". The record is from RNAcentral. Lineage: Eukaryota; Metazoa; Chordata; Mammalia; Primates; Hominidae.
CCGGUAGAGGGGACCCAGGGCUGCCGGUAGAGGGGACCCAGGGCUGCCCAGUGGAGAGGCAAGGAGAAUCAGAGAGGUGCGCAGGAAGCUGCUUUAUUCUUGCUGAGAGACAGGGGCUGCUGCCCACACACAGACCCUGUGUCCACCCUGCAGAGAAGGCCAGGAGGGCCUGCAGAGCUGGGAAGCGCCACCCAAGGGUCUCAGUCACCAAGACUGCAGGAGAGGCAAGGCCACCAAGACUGCAGGAGAGGCAAGGCCAUGCCAGGCCUGGCAGCUGUGGCUGGGGCCAGGAGGGAGGGACCAGGCCCAUGUGGGAACAGGACAAAUGCCCAAGGCCACAUCCUUCGUCCACAGUCCUGAGGCUCCUGCCAGGCUGACAGGAAACAGCCCAGAGCUGAGGUCUUUGAGCCGGUCAUUCCAACAUUGCAAGCACCACCCAGUCCUCCUGGCUGAAGUUGAGUGAGGGUGAUGCCGGUCUCCCCCAGCUCCAGGCUGCCCAUGCCAGAAGCAGCCCAGUCCACACUGCCUCUGGCAUCCACGCGGAAGACAAGGGGCUCUCUGACGCCGACCAUGGCUGUGCCCUGGGCCCAGGCCUCCUGGGCCAGCAGCUUGUUGUUGGAGUUGUUGGAAUUGGGGUCCCCUCCGGGGGUCGCACCGGGCAGUGUGAAGAGAUGCCCCGAUGAGCUCCUGGGCACCUCUGUGGUGGGAGACACACCCUGCGGGCCCAUCUUCUUCACCCGGACUUCAAUGGUCUCCUCCACCUCCACCCACUUGGGCUGGGGCCCCGAGAGUCCGGGCAGAGCUGGAGAGUGGGCCUCGGCCUCCGUCACAUACAGUGUGGGCACCACGGGCUUCUGGCCUGGUUCUGCCUCCGGCCUGCGGGGCUGGCCAGCACCUGGCAGGUACAGCAGGUUGGGGGCCAGUAGGCCUGGCCUCAGCGGGCUGGCAGAGCAGCGGGAAGGUGAGCGGGAGGGGGACUUGCUGGGGGACCGUCGUUGGCCACGUGGGCUCUUCACCACAGUGGUGAUGGUCUCUUCUCUGGGGGAGGGAGGAGAGGGCCCGAGAAAAGAUGGGCACAGCGCCCAGGAUUGCCAGGGCAGCAUGAGAGCUCAGGUUAUUGUACCAGCAAGCCAGCAGUGAGAGUGCACAAAGAACUCUUACACAUGCAUGUGAGCCCAACCUACAGAGUCCCCCACCCCCUGCCACAGAACUAAAGAAACAAAGCACAAGGUCCCAUGUGGCCAACCUGUCUCUGGUGUGCAGAUCUGAGAACAAGAGGUGAGGUACGUGGGGAGGCCCGUGCCGCACUGCAUAGGCAAGCGCCUCCAAAAACCGGGUCACAUCCUGAUUGCAGUGGCCCCGGUGCCCGUCUCCCCUCCAGGUCCAUCCCACCUUUGUGCUUUGUGUCAUGGGGGAUGGUGCGUGGCCAACUCUCAUAGGGCAGGGCCUGCACACCCUGAAACUCCUCAGCCAGGGACGGGCUGGACAGCUUAUGCCGUGGGGGUGGGGUGGGGGCUGAGCUCAGACCUGUUCUCCUGGCCUUUGGGUCUGAAAGUGUGAGGCCCAGAAAGGUUUUAGGCAGGCCAAGGGAGAAACCUGGGUGAUACGUGGCCCCAGACUUGGCUUGGCCAUGAUGAGCCGUGUGAUAUCAGACAAGCCCCUCCUCCUGCCUGGCUCCAUCUCCCAAAAUGGGAUUGGGGAGGAGUGACGGAGGCAGAAUGCAAGGUUGGCUGUACGUGGCUGUGCAUGGGGCACUGGCUGGGAACUUUGCAAGCUCUCUUGUCUGACUCUGCAGUAACCUGGGAGAGGGUCUGAUCCCACUUUAUAGGGGACAGAGAGGGUCAAAGAGGCUCAAAAUCUGCCUGGGGCCAAGAGGGAGAAGCAGAGCAGUCAGCCCAGGUCCUCCUCUGGUGCCCUGUGCCCCUGACCUUGCUGAGCACUGAGAGCAAACUGAGUUAACACGUAGGGAAGCAGAACGUGCUGAGUAACACACAACACAUACCAUUUCCCUGCCUGUUACUCAUUUUGCCCUCAGCCUUGCACUUCCCUCAGGCUCAAGACAAGGGAUGUGGCAUGUAUGAGGUGACAAAGUCGUCACCAAGUGAGCUACUGCCAGCUGUCUGCUUUGUCCAAAGUACUGUCUCUUUCUCAUUUAGUUUUGCUUUCAUCUAACUCAGGGCUCCAUCUGGAAGCAGUUGCUCCCAGGCAUGAGCCCAGAGAUGUGUGACCACCCCUUGGGGUGCACAGCAAUGACAGGUCCUGCCUCCUCCAGCCCUCAGCUAUUAAGGAGGGAGUGAUAUAUUCCACUUAACUGAUGGGGAAGCUGAGGCUCAGAGAUGUGGCCCACUUGUGCCCACAGGCCUGAUUUCCUGCCUCACACCCAGGCUCUAGGGCAGUAGGCUUGUUGCUGAGAGCCUGGGCCUAACCCCAUCUGCUCACCUCAUGUUGCCUGAUCUGCUGAUGCAGGGUGGUAAGUUGAGUGCAGCCCAACAGGUGGAUGGGGACUCCUAAAUAUCCCCCAAAUGCUGGACUCACUGCCACCCCCACAAGGACACAUGGGCAUCCUGUACUGAGACUGCAAGCACAGCAUAUGGGGUCUGUCUCGAAGCCCUGUUUCCUUCUCAGGUCUACUGCCUCCCCAGUGCCUCUCCCUGUGUGGUCCACCCUUGGGUUCAGCGCUAUGCCUAUGCACUUGGCUCCCUCCAAUCCUCAAGCUGAGUGGGUAAAUUAUGCUUUGCAGAGUGAGGGUUGCCACCUUCCUAAGCCUGGAACAGACUGGACUUGUAUGCUUGUAAAUCACCUGGUCCUCCUUUCCCUAGGCGUGAGUCGCCUCUGAAGCUUUGCCAGUGGGGCAUUCUGGCAUCAUCUCUGCUCCUCCAUUUUCUUAUCCAUCAAAUGUAGAUAAUAAUAGUGCUCCCAAAGGGACAAAAUGUAGACCUACUCUAUGUGAGGCUCUGGCACCGUUGCAUACCUCCAGGAGUGGGGUGCUCACCAGCAUCCAGGCAGCCCCAUCUAUUGUGGGGUGGCAUCAUAGGAGCAACUUGUUUUAGGGGAGGAGGGAGAAAGCCAAGGAAGGGUUAACCCAGGAUCUCAACAAAUGUCUGGCAAUGGGAUUUUCCCACAAUACGGCCAACUGAAGGCCCCUUUAGGAGGUUGUAGGCCCCUUGAGAACUAAGAGUUUUCCCAUGCUGGAGCUUCUCAGCCAUCUGGCCUUAGGAAACCACAGUCUUUCCUGCCUCCUGGCUUUUGCAAGCUCUUCCAUCACUCCCGCCUGCACACACCUUCUAUUGGAAGUCCUCUCAGAUUAUUCAGGUCAAAACCAACUCUACAUUUAUGGGUUCACCCAUUUCUGGUCCUCUUGUGUUACCUCAGCAGCAGCAGCAUGUGUGAUUUUCCUAAUCCUUGAGGCACUGAAGGAUGAAGAAAGGGACGGUGGGUGUGGCACUGGGGAAGUGGCUUCCAGUCAUUAGCCACCCAGAGCUAACCUCCUCUCUUCCCUGAACUUCAGUUUCCCCAUCUUCCAAAUGUGAAAAUCGGGCUUGGGGACCUCUAAGGGCCCUAAGGCUGUGCUGUCCACU